UGGGGAAUUUUGGACAAUGGGCGAAAGCCUGAUCCAGCAAUGCCGCGUGUGUGAAGAAGGCCUUCGGGUUGUAAAGCACUUUUGUCCGGAAAGAAAUCCUUGGCUCUAAUACAGUCGGGGGAUGACGGUACCGGAAGAAUAAGCACCGGCUAACUACGUGCCAGCAGCCGCGGUAAUACGUAGGGUGCAAGCGUUAAUCGGAAUUACUGGGCGUAAAGCGUGCGCAGGCGGUUUGCUAAGACCGAUGUGAAAUCCCCGGGCUCAACCUGGGAACUGCAUUGGUGACUGGCAGGCUAGAGUAUGGCAGAGGGGGGUAGAAUUCCACGUGUAGCAGUGAAAUGCAUAGAGAUGUGGAGGAAUACCGAUGGCGAAGGCAGCCCCCUGGGCCAAUACUGACGCUCAUGCACGAAAGCGUGGGGAGCAAACAGGAUUAGAUACCCUGGUAGUCCACGCCCUAAACGAUGUCAACUAGUUGUUGGGGAUUCAUUUCCUUAGUAACGUAGCUAACGCGUGAAGUUGACCGCCUGGGGAGUACGGUCGCAAGAUUAAAACUCAAUGAAUUGACGGGGUCAUAGCUG
Molecule: ribosomal RNA, 578 nt
Filed under: uncultured bacterium
Lineage: Bacteria
Description: partial 16S ribosomal RNA
Rfam family: Bacterial small subunit ribosomal RNA
Source: RNAcentral